RNAcentral lists this ribosomal RNA (497 nucleotides) under uncultured bacterium. RNAcentral's name for it is "partial 16S ribosomal RNA". It matches the Rfam family "Bacterial small subunit ribosomal RNA", at positions 28 to 507 of the family's 1533-position model. The record is from RNAcentral.
GAUGAACGCUGGCGGCGUGCCUAAUACAUGCAAGUCGAGCGAACGGACGAGAAGCUUGCUUCUCUGAUGUUAGCGGCGGACGGGUGAGUAACACGUGGAUAACCUACCUUUAAGACUGGGAUAACUUCGGGAAACCGUAGCUAAUACCGGAUAAUAUUUUGAACCGCAUGGUUCAAAAGUGAAAGACGGUCUUGCUGUCACUAAUAGAUGGAUCCGCGCUGCAUUAGCUAGUUGGUAAGGUAACGGCUUACCAAGGCAACGAAGCAUAGCCGACCUGAGAGGGAGGUCGGCCAACCUGGAUGUGAGACACGGCCCAGACUCCUACGGGAGGAAGCAGUAGGGAAUCUUCCGCAAAGGGCGAAAGCCUGACGGAGCAACGCGGCGUGAGUGAUGAAGGUCUUCGGAUCGUAAAGCUAUGUUAUUAGGGAAGAACAUAUGUGUAAGUAACUGUGCACAACUUGACGGUACCUAAUCAGAAAGCCACGGCUAACUACGUG